This 348-nucleotide unclassified non-coding RNA is filed under the name soil metagenome. RNAcentral describes it as "partial contains 5.8S ribosomal RNA, internal transcribed spacer 2, and large subunit ribosomal RNA". The stretch from base 1 to 120 matches the Rfam family "5.8S ribosomal RNA", at positions 35 to 154 of the family's 154-position model. The record is from RNAcentral.
GAUGAAGAACGUAGCAAAAUGCGAUAAGUAAUGUGAAUUGCAGAAUUCAGUGAAUCAUCGAAUCUUUGAACGCACAUUGCGCCCGCUGGUAUUCCGGCGGGCAUGCCUGUUCGAGCGUCAUUUCAACCCUCAAGCCCCCGGGUUUGGUGUUGGGGAUCGGCUCUGCCCUUCUGGGCGGUGCCGCCCCCGAAAUACAUUGGCGGUCUCGCUGCAGCCUCCAUUGCGUAGUAGCUAACACCUCGCAACUGGAACGCGGCGCGGCCAUGCCGUAAAGCCCCAACUUCUGAAUGUUGACCGCGGAUCAGGUAGGAAUACCCGCUGAACUUAAGCAUAUCAAUAAGCGGAGGA